GAUGAACGCUAGCGGCAGGCUUAAUACAUGCAAGUCGAGGGGCAGCGGGAGUAGCAAUACUUGCCGGCGACCGGCGCACGGGUGCGUAACGCGUAUGCAAUCUACCUUUAACAGAGGGAUAGCCCCGAGAAAUCGGGAUUAAUACCUCAUAAAAUUAUUAGUUGGCAUCAAUUGAUAAUCAAAGCUGAGGCGGUUAAAGAUGAGCAUGCGUGACAUUAGCUAGUUGGUGAGGUAACGGCUCACCAAGGCGACGAUGUCUAGGGGUUCUGAGAGGAUGAUCCCCCACACUGGUACUGAGACACGGACCAGACUCCUACGGGAGGCAG
This 326-nucleotide ribosomal RNA is filed under the name uncultured Bacteroidota bacterium. RNAcentral describes it as "bacterial SSU rRNA". It matches the Rfam family "Bacterial small subunit ribosomal RNA", at positions 28 to 351 of the family's 1533-position model. The record is from RNAcentral. Lineage: Bacteria; Pseudomonadati; Bacteroidota.